Molecule: ribosomal RNA, 598 nt
Filed under: Rhodomonas sp. RCC4784
Lineage: Eukaryota; Cryptophyceae; Pyrenomonadales; Pyrenomonadaceae
Description: SSU rRNA
Rfam family: Eukaryotic small subunit ribosomal RNA
Source: RNAcentral
GCCUUUGGUCGGAUAGUUUCUCCGGGCCUUUCUGCCUGGGAACCCUAUUCUACUUAACUGUAGGGUAGUGGGACGCAGGCCGUUUACUUUGAAAAAAUUAGAGUGUUCAAAGCAGGCCUACGCUUGAAUACAUUAGCAUGGAAUAAUGGAAUAGGACUUUGGUCUUAUUUGUUGGUUUAUGGGACCGAAGUAAUGAUUAACAGGGACAGUUGGGGCCGUUUAUAUUUCGUUGUCAGAGGUGAAAUUCUUGGAUUUACGAAAGAUAAACUUCUGCGAAAGCAUUCGGCAAGGAUGUUUUCAUUGAUCAAGAACGAAAGUUAGGGGAUCGAAGACGAUCAGAUACCGUCGUAGUCUUAACCAUAAACUAUGCCGACUAGGGAUCAGUGGAUGUCAAUUUGCGACUCCAUUGGCACCUUGUGAGAAAUCAAAGUUUUUGGGUUCCGGGGGGAGUAUGGUCGCAAGGCUGAAACUUAAAGGAAUUGACGGAAGGGCACCACCAGGAGUGGAGCCUGCGGCUUAAUUUGACUCAACACGGGGAAACUUACCAGGUCCAGACAUAGUAAGGAUUGACAGAUUGAAAGCUCUUUCUUGAUUCUAU